GUCGAACGAUGAAGCAUUCUUCGGAAUGUGGAAGAGUGGCGAACGGGUGAGGAACACGUAAGAAUCUGCCCCUCGGUCGGGGACAACUCUUGGAAACGAGAGCUAAUACCCGAUACGCUGUGGAGUGAAAGAAUUUCGCCGAGGGAUGAUCUUGCGUCUGAUUAGCUAGUUGGUACGGUAAUGGCGUACCAAGGCGACGAUCAGUAGCUGGUCUGAGAGGAUGAACAGCCACAUUGGAACUGAGACACGGUCCAAACUCCUACGGGAGGCAGCAGUGGGGAAUUUUCCGCAAUGGACGAAAGUCUGACGGAGCGACGCUGCGUGAAGGAUGACGGCCCGCGGGUUGUAAACUUCUUUUCUCGAAGAAGAAGCUCUGACGGUAUUCGAGGAAUAAGCAUCGGCUAACUCCGUGCCAGCAGCCGCGGUAAG
RNAcentral lists this ribosomal RNA (429 nucleotides) under uncultured Chlorophyta. RNAcentral's name for it is "bacterial SSU rRNA". It matches the Rfam family "Bacterial small subunit ribosomal RNA", at positions 61 to 524 of the family's 1533-position model. Lineage: Eukaryota; Viridiplantae; Chlorophyta. The record is from RNAcentral.